AUACGUAGGUGGCAAGCGUUGUCCGGAUUUAUUGGGCGUAAAGCGAGCGCAGCGGUCUCUUAAGUCUGAUGUGAAAGCCCCCGGCUCAACCGGGGAGGGUCAUUGGAAACUGGGAGACUUGAGUGCAGAAGAGGAGAGUGGAAUUCCAUGUGUAGCGGUGAAAUGCGUAGAUAUAUGGAGGAACACCAGUGGCGAAGGCGGCUCUCUGGUCUGUAACUGACGCUGAGGCUCGAAAGCGUGGGGAGCAAACAGGAUUAGAUACCCUGGUAGUCCACGCCGUAAACGAUGAGUGCUAAGUGUUGGAGGGUUUCCGCCCUUCAGUGCUGCAGCUAACGCAUUAAGCACUCCGCCUGGGGAGUACGGCCGCAAGGCUGAAACUUAAAUGAAUUGGCGGGG
RNAcentral lists this ribosomal RNA (396 nucleotides) under uncultured bacterium. Its description in RNAcentral is "partial 16S ribosomal RNA". It matches the Rfam family "Bacterial small subunit ribosomal RNA", at positions 523 to 918 of the family's 1533-position model. The record is from RNAcentral.